UUAUUGUGCAUUAUGUCUUGGUGGUGAGCAUUCUGGCAAAAGUAAAGAGAUAGUACCUGAGGAUCAAGAAUCGAAGUACUCGAAACUCGAUUCCCAUUACAGCUCAGGAUAGUCGGUAGAUAGCUCAUUUCAUUGAGGGUUAUAGUUGGAUUUGCAUCUUCAAAAACUAUUCGGAGGCAAUUGGGACCAAGAUUGGGUGUCCACACAUGCUUGUAUUCUUGGUAGGUACUAUGGCAUCUCAGUAGCGGUACCUUUACUUAAAGUCACUCCGCUGACUGUUGAGAGUCUUUGUCCGUGUACACUAAUGUAAUGUAAACUACUAGGAGUCAUGUUAUAAAUGAAGUAUGUAACAUUGGAUUAAUGAUGAUGAUGCCCUUAUGAGACGAUAAUGAAUGACAGUACUUUGAGAUAAUACAAAUAUGAAUAUUCGAUUACU
Theobroma cacao (cacao) is the source of this 436-nucleotide non-coding RNA. The record is from RefSeq and is a predicted model, not a curated record. Lineage: Eukaryota; Viridiplantae; Streptophyta; Magnoliopsida; Malvales; Malvaceae.